UGGGGAAUAUUGGACAAUGGGGGCAACCCUGAUCCAGCAAUGCCGCGUGUGUGAAGAAGGUCUUCGGAUUGUAAAGCACUUUCGACGGGGACGAUGAUGACGGUACCCGUAGAAGAAGCCCCGGCUAACUUCGUGCCAGCAGCCGCGGUAAUACGAAGGGGGCUAGCGUUGCUCGGAAUGACUGGGCGUAAAGGGCGUGUAGGCGGUUUACACAGUCAGAUGUGAAAUCCCCGGGCUUAACCUGGGAGCUGCAUUUGAUACGUGUAGACUAGAGUGUGAGAGAGGGUUGUGGAAUUCCCAGUGUAGAGGUGAAAUUCGUAGAUAUUGGGAAGAACACCGGUGGCGAAGGCGGCAACCUGGCUCAUGACUGACGCUGAGGCGCGAAAGCGUGGGGAGCAAACAGGAUUAGAUACCCUGGUAGUCCACGCUGUAAACGAUGUGUGCUAGAUGUUGGGU
This 456-nucleotide ribosomal RNA is filed under the name uncultured bacterium. Its description in RNAcentral is "partial 16S ribosomal RNA". It matches the Rfam family "Bacterial small subunit ribosomal RNA", at positions 355 to 828 of the family's 1533-position model. The record is from RNAcentral.